GGUAUUUUGACUAUACGAAGGAAAUGAAAUAAGGCUUUUAUUGGGUACUAAGAGAAUGGUUGAACAGGGAUUAACUUUCUUUUAAUUUAAAAUGGAAAUUAAUUUAAAAAUGAAAAAGUUUUUAUAAAUUUUUGGGACAAGAAGACCCCAUGAAUUUUUUUUAUAACUGUAUUUUUAAUUUUUAUUUAAAGAAAGUAAAAUAUUUUUAUAAAUUAAUUGGGGUGAUUUUUAAAGAAUAUAUAUCUUUAAAAUUAAUGAAAUUAGAACCAUAAUUUUUGGUUAUUUGAUUAAAAUACUCUAGGGAUAACAGCGUAAUUAUUUUGGAUAGUUCAUAUAGAUAAAAUAGUUUGCGACCUCGAUGUUGGAUUAAGAUGCUUGUAUAAUGAAGUAGUUAUAUUAAGGAGUUUGCUCA
Molecule: ribosomal RNA, 412 nt
Filed under: Alectorobius atacamensis
Lineage: Eukaryota; Metazoa; Arthropoda; Arachnida; Ixodida; Argasidae
Description: Ornithodoros atacamensis partial 16S ribosomal RNA
Source: RNAcentral